ACGGUCAGAGAAGAGGAAGCCAUUUUGGGAUGCUAUUAUUUAACGGUGGUUAUUGAAUUCUUGGCCAAUGCUCUUUUUAGUUUGCUUCCUCAAAUCAUCUGGGGUGCAGUUGGGCCAGUUAAUCUUGAAAAUAUCGUCCCACGCCUUCAUUACCGUGCCUAUUCAUUCGUGUUUACAACUGAAGAAUUGCUUUCCUAUGUGAUGAAGGUCCAGAUGAUGACAUUUUGUGGUUUCGCAGAAAAUUGGGAUCCCACAAAGUCUUCAUCAAUUCUCUGACAUAUUUGGUUAAUCCAUAAGACGCUCUUUCAUUGUAUGGUGUAUUCCUGGUUUUUCUUAAGUGGACCUUCCGUUUCAGAAUUUCUUCAUCUACAUUGUGCUGUAGCUUGCUGAGUUCAUUGCGAUCAAAUGCCAAAUGCUUUUGGACCUAAAUCCAGAGAAAAACAAAAAAUUUAUAUAGAGUGUUAUCCAACAAACUGGUUUUAUCAACGGGGUUGAUUGUUUUUAACUUUUUUCCCUAAUAGUGUGUUUUUUCAGUAGGAACAAAAUCAGAGUCACUACUUAGAUCGUUAUCUGCUGCCAGGCUGGUUUCCCUCAGUCUCUUACCCUUUAUAAUGAGAGAGGAGUAUCAGAACUGUUAUCGCUCCAUAUAGAUUUAUAAUGUGAUGUUCCAGGAGCAGUUUCAUCAUCACAGCGUAUCUCAUCAUACUCUGGAUUAUAUUCAUAUGGUGGAGAAAGCGAGUUACUUUGCUUAGAUGAAGAAGAAUCAGUGUCUGAAGAGUCUGAAGACGCAUAUUGUUUUGGUUUGUCCUUUUUGUUUUUUUCUAGCUGUUUAGUCUGAAUCUGUUUAGUUUUUUUAGCAGCUGCCUUCUUUUUGGACUCCCUCAAUUCAUUCACGGCUUGGUCACCUCGUUUCUUCAUAGCCUUUGAAAAAGAAUUCAUUCAUAUACGUCAGCUUCCUUUAUUUUGGAUUCUUUCAGGUUGUUCACGAUUUUUUCACUCUCUCUCACGAGUUGGUCACCUCUUUUCUUCAUAGACUUGAAAAAGAAUUCAUUCAUAUACGUCAGCUUCCUUAAUUUUGGAUUCUUCCAGGUUGUUCACGAUUAUUUCACCUUGUGCCAUCACAUUCUUUGAAAAAGAAUUCAUUCAUUUAAGAAUCUGAUUUUUUCAAGUACAUCUACCUUCAUUUCGGACUCUUUCAAGUCAUUCACUAAUUGUUCAUCUCUUUCCUUUAUAUUCUUUGGAAAGAAAUUCAUUGAUUUACGUCAGCUACCUUCUUUUUGGACUCCCUCAAUUCAUUCACGACUUGGUCACCUCUUUUCUUCAUAGUCUUGAAAAAGAAUUCAUUCAUAUACGUCAGCUUCCUUAAUUCUGGAUUCUUUUAGGUUGUUCACGAUUUUUUCACCUUGUGCCUUCAAAUCCUUUUAAAAAAAAUUGGUUUAAGUUUACUAAUUAACCUAAUCAUUGUUACCUCAUAUUUCGUUUUUAGAUUGAUAGUUAGAUCCCUAAUCUUACUAUCCCUCAACUGUAAUAAAGCAUUCAAGUUUACAAUAGUCAUUUCCAGGUUGACUAUCUUCGUCGUUGCAUCAUUUAGAUUCUUCAAAGUAUCUUCGCUUACUUUCUAUAAGUAUUGGCAUCAUUCAGGAUCUUUAAAUCAUCUUCGUGCAUUUGCUUUGAGAUUUUAGAUCUGCUAAUUGGGUUUUCAGAGAUGGAAGUUUUUCUUUUGUCGCUGGUGGUAGACUUGGGGCCAGUUCAGCGUGAGAUGAAUUUGAUCUUGUCACUCUUUUUCCGUUAUCCAUUUUAAUACCAAACUAUUUUAACCUUCACUUCAAAAUCUUAAGACACUUAGACUUAUUAAACUUUCCUUUGAGACCAAAAUUGAAAAGAAUUAGAGAUAGACGCUCUUUGACUCCUACAGUCCUACUAAACUUCAGGGCUACUGCCUAUUACCGCAUUUGGCCUAUUGCCGCCUUGCCGCAUUUGGCCUAUUGCCGGCUUGCCGCAUUUGGGCUAGUAAAAAUUCUUCAUGUAGCUAGCAAAGGCUUUAUUAUCCCACCCUCCAUGAGUACCAUACUAACUAGUAAAGUCCUCUUGUCAUCACAAGCUAAACUCCUGUCUAAUGGGCUAGUAAAGAUUUUUACGUAGAUAGUAAAUCUUGAAACAAUUGAAAUUAUUGAAGCUACUAUUGCAUUAUGGCAGAUGUUUAUUUUCAUCAAGAUUACUGUCAACUUUUAAUUAAUCCUUCUUUUACUUGCUUGUUUACCAUUGGAUGAGAGGUUUGCUUCGUAAAGUGUACUAGUAGAUGUUGAUUGGGGCACAUAUCCAUCAGCAUUCAUUUUGGCUGCUACUUUCAUGAAUUUUUUGAACCCAUCUAGUCUUUUCCACUUUUGGCGCAACAUGUAUGUGGCCAUAUGGCCUAGCAUGUGGUGUGGUGAUCUAGAUUUAGGAAUAUCCAUUUUGACUAAAUUCCACAAACCUUUUUCAUAUAAUUGUUGUUUUUAGGCUAAAAUAAUUAUAGGUUACGUAACAGUUACUCACCUUCCACUGUAUUUGUAUGAGCUCCUGUUAUGGGAUCCUUAAAAUUCUUCGAGUGAUUAACAGUUUGAUGCUGGUAGUCUCUGUUCAUAUCCCUUGUAAAGUUUUUACACAAUUAAGAAAAAAUACACAAAGUAAUGAAUUUCA
RNAcentral lists this long non-coding RNA (2679 nucleotides) under Daphnia pulicaria. Its description in RNAcentral is "uncharacterized LOC124319823, transcript variant X9". The record is from RNAcentral. Lineage: Eukaryota; Metazoa; Arthropoda; Branchiopoda; Diplostraca; Daphniidae.